Lycium ferocissimum is the source of this 1673-nucleotide long non-coding RNA. RefSeq lists it as uncharacterized. The record is from RefSeq and is a predicted model, not a curated record. The transcript is spliced from 5 exons. NCBI's taxonomy places the organism in Eukaryota, Viridiplantae, Streptophyta, Magnoliopsida, Solanales, Solanaceae.
UAGAAAAGUAAAAAGAACUAAAAAAAAAAAAUAAAGAACUUUAACAAUACUUAUUCUAAAAAUUACUUCAUCUCUUUAAAAUUCCUAAACCUAGACAAGCUCGUCGUUGCCCCAAAUUCAGCUACAAAAUAAUUGCUACCCGUUCAAUUAAGCUUAAUCUUCAAAGAAUGGCUCGCCACUCUCCCAAAUUCAUCUCUCAGCCUUAGAUAUCCCACGAGAAAAAUCUUUCACCCAAAUAAUUAUUUCCCGUAAAUGGGUUUCUUCUUUAUGCAAUCUGAAAGAAGUUCUUCUUCUCCAUAUCUUAGGUUUUUAGUUUUCUCUUUAGGGUUGCUAUAUUAUGUCAUUUUCCAUCAACCAUCUCAGUAAAAUUUACUACAACAGGGUUGCUAAAAACUUGCAAAGUUAUGGUGUCUUCGAUCUUUUGCGAUGUACUGAGUGAACAAGAGAUGAAUCAUAUCCCAUUUUACUCUCGAAAGAGGUUAAAAUCUUUAGAUUCCAUUCAUGGAAUCUAUUAAGGAUGCAAAUCGCUGAUGUAGCAUCUACAAUAGAGUUAACUAUCGGGAGAAAUUGGGUUUUGGCUAAUGUGCUUUCAGCUCCAAUAUAGUUAUGCUCCAUUAAGGACUAAUGAGGAGGUGUUACAAGAUCUUUUUUGGCCUUCUGGUGGUGUUGAGUUUGUGUACUGUAUAGGAGGUCAGUAUGAUAUUGGUGUUGGGGAAGGCAAGGAGUAAAUCAAUAUUAGGCUUGGACAGUUUCUAGCUUGUCUCACCAUGAGAGUCAUGAGGUAUUCUAUAAUCCUAUGGUUUGCAAUUUUAUUACUCAGUAGUGAUUGUGUUAGUACUCUAAGGCUGCUGAUGGUAAAAAUUUCUCCUUCUAUGCUGAAAUUUAUAAAGACUAUUUGGAAAACAAUUAAAUUUUUAGAAAACCAAUCUGCCCUGUAUAGCAUUAGGUUUUGUUAUCAUAUGAUAGAAGUUUGAGAUGUCUGCAAAGUCAGUUUUCGGGACAAGAUGUUGGAGGUUGGGUGUACCUCGUCAGCUAUUGUUUUAUGCUAACAUCAUCUUUGAUUAUUGCUGCUUGUAGGUGUAAAUUGGCUUCUUUCAAAAAUAAUACUUAAGUAGUAGUAUAGUGGAGAAGUCUUCUUGAGCCUCUCUUUACUCAAAAAAAUCAAUGUGAUAGCCUUAGGACCUCUAUGUGCAUUGGAAGAUCCGACUGAUACAUAGGCAUCUUACUUUGAUUUCAUUAUUUAAAGUUAGGCAUACAGUAUUAGAAGAUAAGUCUUUUCCUGCUGUGAAGUAAGGUAUUUACAUCUAGAACUUCCUUAAUAAUUUUUUUUGAUAACCACGUUCAGAACUUACUCCUCAAAUAAGGAGGUGAAGUUCUUAUCUUUAAUUUGCAAUAAGUAAACUUAUGUGAUAUUUAGUUUGGUUGAUAGGGCAUGCUUUAAUCCUCUUUACAGAUGAUAAUGCAUGAUUCUCUAUAUUUUGGUCUACUUUUGAUGAAGCAGUAUCUUGAAUCUUUUGGUAUUUUCAAUGGAGUAAGAGGUACAGUUGAAGCUCUAAAAUGCUUUAUUCAGCUCUAAAAUGCUUUGCACCACACAACUGAUUGACUUAUUCAACUUUAUUUCAGGGAGACAGUGGCAAGUAUUCUCUAGAUUGUGUAUUACAUGGUUCAACUUU